UAGCCACAAUAAUCUCAAUGGAGCGAUGUUGACCGAGACCAGCUGGGGCUCUGGCCCUUGGGCACACAGCACUUCCUCAACCUAUGUUUUAUUUAAAGGGGCUCCGUGCACUGAGAAUACCCGGGGAAGCUUGGGCUGGCUACACACAAACUUGGGCUCCUUCAGCACUUUGGCCAGUUAUGGAGAACUGAUUGGCCUCAACGCAGACUUCAGUGCUGUCGAUGCAGUAGCGGGUCUCAGCCCAGUGCAACUAGCGUCUUACGUGCUGGCAAGUGACGUUCUGCGGGACAGCGACAAAGCGGGCAAGGUCUUCGGCUCUCUGAACUCCCACACCGUUGGGGAGUUUCUGGAUGCAUUCAAUGCCGCUGCCCAGCAGCAGCAUCUCUCUCAGCUGCCUCAUGCCGAUGUGAGAAGAUUCAUCCUGGGCGAGAUCUUUUGCCAUUUAAGCACUGUGUUUAAGCUCUUCACCACUGAGGACUAUGCCGUCUGGUUCGGGGAAAGACUCACUCUCUUCCUGAGCAGCCUCGAAGCACAGAAUCUUGGCUUUUUACCUAACGACAUGUCGUGCGACUCCCUCGCAGCCAUAGUGAAGAUCCUGAGUGACCAUAAAGCGAAUGGGACAUAUGAGAACCCACAGGACAUCUUCUCAUUUAUAAAGAGAGUUCUUCACUUCCAGCUGCAAAACUCAGGCUCGGCCUGUGCUCAGGGAAUCACCACAGACAGGCAAUGGCUGCUACAGUAUUUUGGGCUCUUCACUGUUUAUGGCUCGUACUCCGACUUCAUCACGUUAAACAGCAGACUCCAUGGGCAUGACUCCCUAGACCUUUUCUCAGCAAGUACACUGGCCCAACUGUCUGCUCAAAGCAACACCAUCUAUAGCACUGCGGCCAUCCAGUUGGUCUUCCAGGCAAUCAGAAGCAAGGAGGAGCCACUCCAGCACCUCAGCACUUACCUGGAUGAUCUCAACACCCUACUGCUGAAGAGCUCCGGUUUGCUAGGGAAUUCCAAGGUGCGAGACACCAUGCUAAUGAUGUCAGCAGAAAUGGUCUUCCCACAAAUCACGGCCUUGUCCCUGGAAGGCACAACCACGUGGCUCCACAGACUGAACUUGCUGCUCGCUGGUGUAAAUGCAACAACAUUGGAACUGCUGCCUCUGACUAUGCCAUGCCCAUUUUACCAAGCCAUGUGAGUACUCGCCUCUAGGGCUGCGUUCUGUUUUGAGUUUUGUUUGCAUUGCUA
This 1239-nucleotide long non-coding RNA is filed under the name Chrysemys picta bellii (western painted turtle). RNAcentral's name for it is "lncRNA (ENSCPBG00000021110.1)". The record is from RNAcentral. Lineage: Eukaryota; Metazoa; Chordata; Testudines; Emydidae.